Bos taurus (domestic cattle) is the source of this 643-nucleotide long non-coding RNA. The record is from Ensembl. Lineage: Eukaryota; Metazoa; Chordata; Mammalia; Artiodactyla; Bovidae.
AGUUGCUAAUGGGAAGCAGCAAUAGCACAGCCAGGUCCCAGCUCAGGGGGCAGCCGGUGGGCCUGGGUGCUUUGGAGCAGUGCUAUUUAGGAAAGAGGAAAAGGAAAAAUCAAAUGCAUGGAGCAUCUUUAACCAGGACUCCUGAGUGGGGUUGGAUUUGGCUGUUCUUUGAAGCCAGGUUGGCGCAUUUGAGGAGCUGUCUGUCCUCUCCCAUGCCAAAGCAAGUGAUUUACAGUCAAGAAGAACCAAGAUCUUCAAGCAGACAUCCAUGGCCAAGGCUCCCGCUCGCCUCACAUCAAGCGCACCUGUUUGCCCUCACGGCCAGCUGUGACUCAUCUGCUCUGUCUCUCCUUCACCUCCACCGCCUACUCACUUCCACAUACCACACCCAAGUCCUCUAGGACAGCGGUCCCUGACCUUUUCGGCACCAGGGAUUGAUUUCUUAGAAGACAAUUUUUCCACAGACCGGGGGCGGGGGGAAUGGUUUGGGGAUGAUUCAAGCACAUUGCAUUUAUCAUGCACUUUAUUUCUAAUCUAAUGCCACUGCUGAUCUGACAGGAGCUACCAGUUCUCAGUGCAGAGGUUGGGGACCCCUGCUCUCAGACUCUCAGUUCUCAGUGGAAACUCUUGCACUCAGAAAGCC